Molecule: ribosomal RNA, 230 nt
Filed under: uncultured bacterium
Lineage: Bacteria
Description: partial 16S ribosomal RNA
Rfam family: Bacterial small subunit ribosomal RNA
Source: RNAcentral
UCCAUGCCGUAAACGAUGAAUGCUAGCUGAUGGAGGUCUAUACCCAUUCAUUGGCAAAGUUAACGCAUUAAGCAUUCCGCCUGGGGACUACGGCCGCAAGGCUAAAACUCAAAGGAAUUGACGGGGGCCCGCACAAGCAGUGGAGUAUGUGGUUUAAUUCGACGCAACGCGCAGAACCUUACCCGGCCUUGACAUCCUUGGAAGUUUCUCGAAAGGGAGACGUGCCACCG